Molecule: non-coding RNA, 601 nt
Organism: Schizosaccharomyces pombe (fission yeast)
Lineage: Eukaryota; Fungi; Ascomycota; Schizosaccharomycetes; Schizosaccharomycetales; Schizosaccharomycetaceae
Source: the annotation of a GenBank genome assembly
AAGAGAUAUGACUCAAAUAUCGCAAGUGUAAAAUGGACAUUUAGGAGUUUUUGCUGACUUGAUAAAAAUAUUCAUACGAGUAAACAAAGGACUGGCACGCCUACAUAAUGUUGAGACGAGUGAUUAAUAUGGUUUGGUUAAUUAGGUGUAUUAUGAAUGAAAGAAGUACUGAAAGUGAAAUAGAGAAGCAACUGAAAUUCACAGCUUUCUCUUUAAGAACGAACGAAAAAAUGACAAAAAAGCUAAAAGAAACAUAUAAGUGCAGCAGAAAGCUGUCCAUCCCUAAAAUUACGGGUAAAGAAUAUUAAGGAAAAGGGGAUCUAGGCGUUCUCUCUCGACUAGCAGUAAACGAAAGUCUGUCUGCGAGAACAUGGCUUGAAGUGGUACGUAUCGGGGGUCCAUGCCACUUAGAGGGACUGCUCAUUUCUAAAUCAUCAGAAAAAUCUGCUAUAUCCUCAUAACUUCCAUUUGCAGACAUAAUGUACGGAGCCUUGCGACGUUGCAAGCGCAGAAGGAAUUUUUUGAAACGUUGGCGCCUUUUCGGAUCAUACCCGAACAAAACCAAAGAGAACAGAAAGAAUAAGCAGAAAAUAAAUGAAAG